Molecule: long non-coding RNA, 922 nt
Organism: Cornus florida
Lineage: Eukaryota; Viridiplantae; Streptophyta; Magnoliopsida; Cornales; Cornaceae
Exons: 2
Source: RefSeq, a predicted model, not a curated record
UUUAUGCUUUAAUGAUACUAAAAAUGGCAGGUAGUGCGUUUAAUACACCAUAAGGAUGUUAUGCUUGAAAAUGUUGUUGCUGCUCUUGACGUGUCAAAUCUGUAGCUCGAUUUAGUGCUGUAAUCGACAUUGUUGGAUGAAGAACAUAGGAGCUGAUGAUCUCGGAGAUUGAGGUGUCACUCUCUGGAAGAGGAGGGGAAUGGAAAGGUCUUUCAAGGGUAAUUUUGCCUUUUCAGUGUGGUUAUGGAGGUUCUUGUGGCGUGAUGUGAAGUUCGAGAGUUUCGAGGGGUCAGAGUGGACUUAGCUGCAUCGAUUGACAUUUUUGAUUUGCACAUAAGCUUGAAGAAGAUGGUUUAGUUCAACUAUUUUGGAGAUCAGAAAAGAAGCAGAUUUGAGGAACGUGAGGAUUGUAGUGAUGAUGGGUAGAGGAAAGAUAAUCAAAUGGUAGAGAGAGAGAGUUUUCGGGGUAUUUUUGUCCUGAAAAUUUUAUGUUUUCAAUGUACUACAAAAACUGAACCAAUUUAUGAAACAAAGUCCUUUUCAGCGGGACCGGCGCUCGGUAGAGUUGAUAAGGUAAUGACUUAAAUACCACCAUGUCUCAGGUUACGAAAUUGAAGCUCUUGUUACGGAAAUGAUGGAAGGGAAGAAAAUGAGAAGUAGGGCUCAGGGGUGGAAGAAGAAAGCAGAAGAAGCUACUGAGAUUGGGGGAUCAUCUUAUAACAACUUUGACAGAUUCAUCAAGGAGGUCCUCCAAUUUGAGAGCAAUUAGUAUAAACUGUUGGGGAAUUUAUUUAGGUUUCUGAGGAGUUUUACUUGGGAUGUGAUUGUGUACAAUUGUUUUGACCUUGUGGCAAAAAACCACGGAGAAGCAGUCUGGCAUGCCUGUAAAUUCUCUCAUUGAAAAAAAAAAAAUUAAAUAAAA